Molecule: long non-coding RNA, 1355 nt
Filed under: Anas platyrhynchos platyrhynchos (common mallard)
Lineage: Eukaryota; Metazoa; Chordata; Aves; Anseriformes; Anatidae
Description: lncRNA (ENSAPLG00000021904.1)
Source: RNAcentral
GGAUUUUUGAAACAGCGAGGAGGCCAUGACUUGCUGCAGCUGAGCAAACCAAGCUACCAGGACGACUAUGAGAAGUUCCCAUGACAGCGUUCCCACAUCGCCCGAUUGAGGAAUUUAGAAAGAUAUUGUUGCCAGCAGCUGGCUUCAAGAACGGGAUCUACGUGACUGCUAAUCACAAGGGGGUUGUUUUCUUGCAGUUGUUUGUCUGAGUGCUUUUGACCAAUAAUCUUGUGUGAGACACUAUCUGCCCUUGUUAAGUUUGCUAUAAAAGUCAGGCUAUUUGGGUAAUAAUGAAGAAGAGCGUGAUCUGACCAUACUAGUGUCUGCUGUGUUUUUGGCCAUUUUUCCUGCAACAUAUGGCGCCCGAACAGGCUGAGACCCACAGAUGCUGAGAGACCAGAGAGACGCUGAGAGACCUGAGAGAUGCUGAGACUCCGAGCACAGACCUGAACAGAGAGAUCGUGGUGAGACACGGAGAUAGAUACAGAGAUCGCGGUGAGAUGCAGAGAUAGAUACAGAGAUUAUGGAGAUAGAUGGAGAUCGCGGUGAGACGCGGAAAAGUGAUGUAUUGCGGUGAGACGCGGGACAUCCGGGGCCGAGUUGCUACGGGAGAUCGGAGGUGUCAGUGGAAACGGCAGACGACCGCCAUCGUGUGCUUGUCGCAGUUGCGUGAGAUCACCAGACAUAAACGGGCAUUGCUCACACCGGAUUGCAAUGAUAAUGUUGAAUUGCUUGGUGUUGCAGCUAGAAUGGCAUUGGCAAGUUUAGUGCCAGGAGUGGCAUCUUUGGCUGCACUUAACAACUUAGAAAAAUUGGUAUGCUGGGCCAAUAAGCAAGCCCAUGCCAUGACAGAGAUACUUGAGGAGAUGUUACCAGAUCAAAAUAGUCUGCGACAUACACUCUUACAGGCUCGAGCUGCUGUUGACUUCUUGCUUUUGGCUCAAGUGCAUGGGUGUGAGGACUUUGAGGAAACGUGCUGUUUGAACCUUUCUGAUCAUAAUGAGUCAAUUCACAAAUUUAUUACUUUCCUGAAAGAACCCAUGAGAAAGAUUCAAUAUGAUAUCAAUCCUUUCGAUCAGUGGCUCACUGAUUUGUUUGGAACGAUGCAUAGAUGGUUACUGGGAUUAGUCAAAGAGGGAUUAAGGAUUCUGUUUGUUGUGGUGUUAAUCAUCAUUGUGUGUUGUAUUGUUAUAAAUGUGGUUAAAGGGUUACUUGCAAAACUGUUACAUCAGGCUUGGUUUGCUCAAAAAGAAAAAGGGGAAAUUGUUGAGGGAUUUUUGAAACAGCCAGGAGGCCAUGACUUGCUGCAGCUGAGCAAACCAAGCUACCAGGACGACUAUGAGAAGUUCCCAUGA